UAUGUGAUCGUCUCUCGCAUAUCAAUAAGCGGAGGAAAAGAAAAUAACAAUGAUUUCCCUAGUAACGGCGAGUGAAGAGGAAAGAGCUCAAAGUUGGAAACUGUUUGGCUUAGCUAAACCGUAUUGUAAACUGUAGAAACAUUUUCCUGGCACGCCGGAUUAAUAAGUCCUUUGGAACAAGGCAUCAUGGAGGGUGAGAAUCCCGUCUUUGAUCCGAGUAGUUGUCUUUUGUGAUAUGUUUUCAAAGAGUCAGGUUGUUUGGGAAUGCAGCCUAAAUUGGGUGGUAAAUCUCACCUAAAGCUAAAUAUUUGCGAGAGACCGAUAGCGAACAAGUACCGUGAGGGAAAGAUGAAAAGAACUUUGAAAAGAGAGUUAAACAGUACGUGAAAUUGUCAAAAGGGAAGCGUUUGACACCAGUGUUGUUUUUCUGAAAAUCAAUUAAAGAACUGUUUAUGCUAAGUUGUUUAGACUUUAUCAGCUAUCUGCUUAGUUUUGAGCUUUUCUUUAAUGCACUUUUCAGUUAACAAGUCAACAUCAAUUUCUUUUGCUGUAAAAAAGCUUGAGGAAGGUGGCUUGAGAUUCGUCUUAAGUGUUUAUAGCCUCUUGCCUAUGCAGUCGGAGAGAUUGAGGUCUGCAGCGUAGAUCCUUCGGGGCUAAAUGCAUUUGUGCUAAGUUAUAACAUUUUAUAGACAACUUGUUGACUAUGAUUUGUCUUGUAGCUUACUCGCUUAUGUUAUUUUACCUACGCUUAGGAUGUUGACACACGCGCGUGCUCG
Molecule: ribosomal RNA, 776 nt
Filed under: uncultured Neocallimastigales
Lineage: Eukaryota; Fungi; Neocallimastigomycota; Neocallimastigomycetes; Neocallimastigales
Description: partial large subunit ribosomal RNA
Rfam family: Eukaryotic large subunit ribosomal RNA
Source: RNAcentral